CACGCCGUAAACGAUGCAUACUAGGUGUCGGGGAGCAAAGCUUUCCGGUGCCGCCGCAAACGCAGUAAGUAUGCCACCUGGGGAGUACGUUCGCAAGAAUGAAACUCAAAGGAAUUGACG
Molecule: ribosomal RNA, 120 nt
Filed under: uncultured bacterium
Lineage: Bacteria
Description: partial 16S ribosomal RNA
Rfam family: Bacterial small subunit ribosomal RNA
Source: RNAcentral